UUUUGUUAUUGCCAAUUUCUGAGGUAACUUGUAUAUUUUUCUGGUCUGCUCACUAGCAUUUUUGUUAGUGAAUAAUAUACCAUGCAUCAUGGGCUAGGCUAGCCCAUUAUAUCAUUAAUUAAUAGAAUGGCCCACUUUAAAUCGCUUAAGAGUUGAAAAUCUGAACACCAAUUGUCCUACUCACAUACAUAUUUGCAUGCACGUGUGCACGUACAUGCAUAAACAUGUUUUGUGUGACUGUCUAUUUUUAUAUAUCAUUUUUUCUUAAUGCGAUUAGUAAUAAACUAGAAGACAAGAUGUGAGGAAUCUUAUUGAGAACAAUUUGUCAUGUGCAAUAACAGCUAGUUUUGGUUCUCCAAGAGGAUAAUAGUGGAUUGAGGGGAGGCAAAUACCCUUAAUUUAUCUAUG
RNAcentral lists this unclassified non-coding RNA (408 nucleotides) under Hevea brasiliensis (rubber tree). The record is from RNAcentral. Lineage: Eukaryota; Viridiplantae; Streptophyta; Magnoliopsida; Malpighiales; Euphorbiaceae.